Long non-coding RNA from Salarias fasciatus (jewelled blenny), 1236 nucleotides. RefSeq lists it as uncharacterized. The record is from RefSeq and is a predicted model, not a curated record. The transcript is spliced from 5 exons. NCBI's taxonomy places the organism in Eukaryota, Metazoa, Chordata, Actinopteri, Blenniiformes, Blenniidae.
GGAAGCAUCCCUUCUCCUCAAGGGAACUCUCCAGCCUGUCUUCAGGGUGCCGAAGGCAACCUCUUCCAAGCCUUUGCCAAGUCCAGCGGAACAGGUGGAAGAGGACAACAAUGAGGCUGAGGCUGACAGGUGCUUCUUGUUGGAGUUGCCAACAUGUGUCCUAAUGGACAUAUUUCAAGAAGUUGUCCUCAGUGAAGGUGACGCCGCAAUCUGCAGACUGGCUCUGGUGUGCUCCACUUUGAGAGACCUUGUGUCUACUGAACAUUUCAGGAGGCGAGCGCACUUUAAGUGGCUUCACAGUGUUUGCACAUGGAGCAGAUUCUCUGAAAAUUACAGAAAGGAGUACUGGAGAAUGUACACCAUCGAGAUCUGCCAAGAAUGUGGAGAGCAAUACAAAGAAAUGCCACGAGGAUAUGUUGGCAGAGGGAAAAGAGGAGAAGUGCUAGCCUUCUAUUCAGAGGAGAGGAACCCAGGCUACUGCAGUCACUUCUGCAGCCAAAUGUGCUAAAAUCAGUCAGUUGUGCAGUCUGGGCUAUUUUUAUUUUAUUUUUUAAAUUUUAUUUUAUAUCUGUUAUUAAUCCCAUUUCACACAGUUUGUCCCCAUCUGCUGGUACAAAAACUUUUGAUAUGAGAAGUUAAUCCCUUAAUAAUUAAAUGACUAUUUUCUUUGUUGACUGAUAGGUCACAACAGGUGAAUGUGAACGGCGUUCUUUCUACAGUUAAGAACUACAGUACUGGGGUUCCUCAAGGAGCUGUUAUUUCUCUUCUUUUUACUUUGUACACAUGAUUAUAGAAGCACUCAAUCUAAUAACUUCAUUUUCAGAUGAUAUUGCAAUUUUAAGUCUUUUACGUGUCAGUGAGUGCCCAUCAAUGUACCACAAUGAAAUCAAAACCUUUAAGGCUUGGUGUGAUAACUGUCAUCCUACUUUGAAUACAAGGAAAACAAAAGAGAUGAUAUUCGAUCCUAAAUGUGAUUGUAUGCAUGAACUGGUAGCAAUAAAUGAUUUUUCAAUUAAACAGGUCUGUUCUUUAAGUAUUUAGGCAUUUUUAUUGAUAAAUCAUUUAAAUGGAAUGAACUGCUGUUGUUGAAAUUGCAGUGAUGUGAUCUGAUGUGGCACUUUGUCCAAGACAUUUCUUUUAGGACAAUAAAGUUAAUCUGAAUUGUGUGAUUGUGUAAACCUGCAUAAGGCUGUGGGCUGGCUCCUUCCCUGCUGCUUGAUUUCUUUCCUCAGCUCC